Long non-coding RNA from Symphalangus syndactylus (siamang), 476 nucleotides. RefSeq lists it as uncharacterized. The record is from RefSeq and is a predicted model, not a curated record. NCBI's taxonomy places the organism in Eukaryota, Metazoa, Chordata, Mammalia, Primates, Hylobatidae.
GCAGUACUAUAGAGAUUGGCAUCACUGUACAAUUUGAUAUUUUACAGUUCCUCAUUUACAAACGAGGAAGCUGAAACUCAGCUUUUCAAGGGGUUCUUUUCAAGAGUGCCCCAUGGUGGAGCCAGAAGUAGCCACAAUAGAAGACAGCUUCUUGCAGAGAGAAAGUUGCAGCAUUAUUUCUCUGCGUCUUUGAUUCACUGUCUAUAUCAUUGUUCAAAACAACAACAAAAACAGCCAUAUUCCCACUGAGCAUAAUUGUACUCUGAUGGACAAACUUCUGCAGCUUACUAUGCUUUAGGAUUUAUUGGGAGAAAAGGUCUUGUCCUGUUUGGAGUCAUUCCCACUGAAGCUACUCCCUGGAGUCUUUCCCAGCCCUACUUUGAGCCUGUUUACCUUGGUGCUGUUCCUUGCUGAAUAUUCCUGGAUAAAGUCACUCAAUAGGAUGCAAUGCUGCUCACUUCUCAGCAGAGCCAAGA